CAGGCGUCCAAUCCUUCUCUUGUCCCCUGAUCUCUGGGGUUGGAAGGUCCAGGGCGGGGACGCUGUCCAUCCGCCCAUCACCAGGGGGCAGGAUGCCUGGGGCUAGACGCGCAUUGCGCGGGCGCAGCCCCGCCCAGGUGCGCGCGCUGGGGCUUUCCCCGCUGACGCAGCGGAAGCGCUGCCCCUACAUGGGCCGAUUCUGUCCAGUGACGCGACGGCGGUCUCCGGGCAGAUUCCGGGAAUCCCCUCCCCCGCUCUGCCCGGCAGGGCUGCGGCGCCGGGAAGGGGGCCGGGAUUUUCCCAGGCAGGCGGCUGCCGGGGCCCGGAAAGCCCCAGGCCUGGGUCCAGAGCGUCCGCGGUGGGAGGGCCAUACUCCUGGGUCCCGGAGCCAACCCAGAGACUGCCCCAUCGGGUUGGCGUCCCGGCCCCGCCGCGCCCACGCGCGCUCCGUCUGACCUGACCUGGGCGGGGGGUUGCUGCAGCCUUCGUUGCCGCCGCGGUACCCCCACCCCUGCCAGGAAGGGCGGCGCCCGCCUGCCAAUUUCCCCUCCCGGGUGCCAGGUUGGGAGCAGGGCGACUGCCAGGUCUGGUCCUGCCGGGGCGGCUGCUUGGGCGGCCGGGCGCCGUCGUCGCCGCCGCCGCCGCCCUCUCGCGGGACGCCCGCCCCCGCAGCUGGGAAAGGUGGGAGGGCUGCUGGUACGUCCGCAGGGGGUCUAGCUGGCUUCGGAGCUGGAAGCCCCCAGAACAGCGGAGAAAAACACAGGCUGAGAAACCGCAGGGGUGGGGUGGGCAGAACAGACAAUUCAUUAAUUCAUUUAUGAACCUUGGAGACACUGCCUGGACCGUGGCAGACAGACAAUAAACAAACAUGAUUCGGAGAUGGUGCCAGGUCCUGGGACAACAACGUUCUGGGCAAGAGGGAACAGUACGUGCAAAGUUCCCGUGGCCAGAACAAGAUCAGUCUGUUAAAGAACAGCAAGAAAUCAUUGUGUGCCUGGAUUCAAGUGAACCAAGAGUGGGUAGAUGAGGUCAGGGAAAUCCAUGGACGGCCUUGGGGAAGGACUGUAGAUAAAAUUCCAAGGCCCAGAUGAGUGUUUUGGAGGGUUAAUAAUCUAGAUAGCAAUCCUGUGGAAGGAAAUGGGGGUUCAG
This is a long non-coding RNA of Lontra canadensis (Northern American river otter), 1149 nucleotides long. RefSeq lists it as uncharacterized. The record is from RefSeq and is a predicted model, not a curated record. NCBI's taxonomy places the organism in Eukaryota, Metazoa, Chordata, Mammalia, Carnivora, Mustelidae. The transcript is spliced from 2 exons.